RNAcentral lists this ribosomal RNA (253 nucleotides) under uncultured bacterium. RNAcentral describes it as "partial 16S ribosomal RNA". It matches the Rfam family "Bacterial small subunit ribosomal RNA", at positions 524 to 776 of the family's 1533-position model. The record is from RNAcentral.
UACGAAGGGGGCUAGCGUUGUUCGGAAUUACUGGGCGUAAAGCGCAUGUAGGCGGCGAUUCAAGUCGGGGGUGAAAUCCUGGAGCUCAACUCCAGAACUGCCUUCGAUACUGCAUUGCUGGAGUAUGGAAGAGGUAGGUGGAACUGCGAGUGUAGAGGUGAAAUUCGUAGAUAUUCGCAAGAACACCAGUGGCGAAGGCGGCUCACUGGUCCGGUACUGACGCUGAGGUGCGAAAGCGUGGGGAGCAAACAGG